UCACCAAUAGUUUAGUGGCAGAAUGUUUGAUUUCCAUUCAGAUGGCGGGGAUUCGAUUUCCCCUUGGUGAA
Molecule: transfer RNA, 71 nt
Filed under: Pseudomonadota bacterium
Lineage: Bacteria; Pseudomonadati; Pseudomonadota
Description: Proteobacteria bacterium (activated sludge metagenome) tRNA-Gly
Rfam family: tRNA
About the family: Transfer RNA (tRNA) molecules are approximately 80 nucleotides in length. Their secondary structure includes four short double-helical elements and three loops (D, anti-codon, and T loops).
Source: RNAcentral